GGCACCAAUAACACUGGGGGGUAUUCUGUCACAGCCCCCUCUGCGAUGCUGCCACACGGGCAGCUCCAAAGUCUUACAAUUCAAGUGUGAUUUUCAUUUUUUAUUUUUUUUUUAUCUUGGAGAAGUUCAACCUGUGUAUUACACACAUCAGGAAAGAAGAUUGUGGUGCCCAAGUGGAAAUGGAAUAAUUGACUUUGUCACGUAAUAACUGGAUGCUGACUGGACUCCAACUGAAGCUGUGAUUUUCCGUUCACUUUUGCAUGAGGAGGCUUUGCUCCAAAUAUCAAGGAUUAUAGCUGAAAUUGUCUCCAUAAUACCAUGGCGGAAGGAGCUGCCUCCUCCUCCUCCUCCACAGCCAGUGGGUCCAGUGGAGCAGCUCCACCACAGACGAUCCCCGUCAAGUCCAAAGGUCUGGGCCUCCUCGGGAAGCUGAAAGUGUCCGCGGAGCUGCUGGUGGCUCUGGCUGCUCUCCUGUCCUGGGUGGUGGUCGGAGUAGUGAUGUUUGACUUUGUGGAGUACAAGGCAGUCCCUGACAUUCAGCAAAUCGUUUCGGACCCCAUUGGAGCUGUAAACGACGCCGUCGAGGAAGCAUCCAGUCUACUCAAUAAGUUUCAGGAAUGUGCACCCGAUUUAAGUGACCCCACGUCCGCUGCCACCUACGUAGCUAAAGAAAUAUCUGAUGCAAAAGAUGGAUUUGUUCGCUAUUUUUCCGAUGAGGAAGGGAACUUCUACCUCAGCUAUGUUGACCCUGUGAUCAUCGGUAGACAAGCUUUCCAUUCGACCAAUGACUUAAUGCGUGGAGUCGUGGGCACCUUCAAGGACACAUUGUGCGCCAUUGUAGACGCCGCAUUAAAUACUAUAUCGGAUGUAAAUAAAGGAGAAGUUGACCUUAGCUGCAUUGACCCUGUGGUCGUAGGCCGAGGUGUCUUCAAUGUUACUAAUGGGUUUGUGUGUGGAGUGGGGAGCUACAUCCGGGAUGUGCUGUGUGCCCUUCUGGACACAAUUCUGGAUGUAGUGAAAGGAACCUCAGGAACCGUGGAUACUCCCUCCGUGGACCCUGUUGUAGUUGGCAGAAAUGUCUUCAGUCUUACAAAUGACACCGUGAGUAGACUAGUGGGCUACAUCCAGGACGUACUCUGUGCCAUCGUAGACAGUGUGCUGGAUUUAACUAAAGGAACCACCGACACAAGCUUCAUGGACCCUGUGGUUGUUGGUAGAAAUGUCUUCUGUGUUACUAAUGACUUUCUGAGUGGAAUAGCCGGAUACAUCCAGGAUGUGCUCUCUGCCGCCUUGGACGUGAUACUGGACACAGUAAAAUAUCUGCAGCAUGCUGUGGGAUUCAGCCCGACGUCAGCUCUAAAGAGAACAGCAGAAAUCAGCACAGAGCAGAUGAACACGCUUGUGAGCUACGUCUCCACGCUGAUUGGUCAACAAGACAUCAUGCCAGAAGUUUCCAUUGACCCCAUGAAAGUGGUUGAAGAUGCUCUGUUGGAGGCCUCGGACAAGAAAGAUUUGUUCGUGGCUUACAUGUCGAGCAUGCUUGUUGCUGAUCGAGGAGAACCUGUUGUAAAUGUAGUAUCUGAAAAAGAUGAAGCUGUAGCUCUCCCAUCUAAUUUGAAUAUGUUACGAAGAAAAGGAGAAUUUCUUCCGUCUUUGGGAAAAGUUACAGAGAUCAUGCAAGCUGCCAAAGAUGCUGCUGCUGCUUCUGCUGCUGAAGCCCCAGACUCAAAGAUCAAGGAGGAGGAUGGAGACGUUUCCACUGAAGCUGCCUACGAAGUGGACGUGGAGGAGGAGGAGGAUGUGAAACAUAUCAACCUUGAAGAAACAGAACAUGAACCACCAGCCAUCAAUGAAGGAGACAAGGUCGACAGAGAGGAGGAGGAACAUGAGGAGAUUCAAACAGAGGAGGAUGCGAUUUAUGAGGCGGAAGAAACAGAGGAUGCUGAAGGAGAAGAAGGUGGAGAUAUUAUUAAAACAGCCACUGAAGAAGAACAAGUAGAUGAACCAAGUGAGGAGCAGGAAGAGGAGAUCAAAGUUGAAGAUGUUUUGGCGAAAGAGGAGAAGGAAACACAUACAGAAGAGGAUGCAUUAAAAAAAGAUUUGGUAGUGGAAGUGGAGGAGGAGACCAUAUCUGAAGACAUUUUGGUAAAAGAGAGGGAGGAGGACGAAGAGGAGGAGGAGGAGAAAAAAACUGAAGAUGUUUUCGUAGACGAUGGUGAGGAAGAAGACGACAGAAAAACUGAAGUGGAAGUUGAGGAGGUGGAGGAUACUAACAUUGAAGAACACACCAUAGAAGAUGAUGAGGAGACAAAAACAGGACUUCUGGUAGAGGAGGAGGAGGAAGUGGUGGUGUUGGUGGUGCAGGAGGUCAAGCAUGAGGAGGACGGGGAGGUACAAAAUGAAGAGAUUUUAGUAGAAGAUGGUGAGGAAGAAGAGGAGAGUAAAACUGAAGUGGAAGUGGAGGAGACUAUAAUGGAGGAACAUGCAGGAGAGGAUGAAACAAAUAUAGAACUUGUGGCAGAAUUAGAGGAGGAGGAGGAGGAGGAAGAGGAGGAGGACGACGUGUUGAUAGGAGAUGGUGAGGAAGAGAAGGAGACAAAAACAGAAGAUGCAGUUGAAUAUUUGGAAGACAAUAAAGAGGAGGAGGAGGAAGACGGCGAGGACGAAGAGACAACAACAGAACUUGUAAUUGAAAACGAGGAGGAGACCGAAUCUGAAGAAGAUUUGGCAGAGGCUGGGAUAGAUGAUGAGAAAAAAACAGUAGAAGUUCAAGUAAAAUCAUUGGAAGAUUUUGAUGAGGAGGAGAACGAAGAUGAAGAUCUUCGUGUUGAUGAAGGAAGCGACAAAGAAAUAAAUGAAAUUACUGAUAUCAACGAUCAGCUUUCUAAAACUAACCAGGAACUAGGAGCUUUAGAUGCUGAAGAUAAAAAGAAUUUAGAGGAGGAGGAAGCAGAAGAACCGUUCAGAGUGGAGACGACGGAAGUGGACAAAGGAGAUGAAGAAGAAGAGCCAUCUGCCCAACGUCUUGAUUUUGAAAUUAUAUCAUCUAAAACACCAAAUAAUGCAGGUGUCAUACCCGAAUCCAACAACGUUAUAGAAGAGGAAACAACAGUCAAUGAAUACUCUGACAUCAUCAACGAACGUGAUGAAAACAAUGAUGAGAUUGAAAGCGUGAAAUCUGAAUCUGAACAAAAAAGGGAGGUUCAUGUUCCCUUUGAGAGACUGAGAAGAGUCGGCUCCAGAGCUGCUCACAAAGAGGAACACCUUCACAAACGUGGGAAAGUUCUCAAAGCGGCAAAGGAAAGACGAAAAGAAGUUAAAGACGCCAUUAUCAAAGACCUCGAGGAGGAGAAAAAAGAGGGAGCCAAACUUGAGGAAAUCAUUGAAAAGAAACCAAAAGAAGAAAAGCUAAAGGAAGAGGCUAAACCAUUUGAGAAGAAACCACUGAAGCACAAAGAAGAAGAGACUAAAAAGAAGGAAGAACCCAAUAAACCACCUAAAGGAGAGAAAAGAGUGAAGCAUACUAAGGAGGAGAAAGAAACAAAACAGGUGACAGAAGCGAAGAAAACCAAUAAAACAGAAAGACGCCAAGAAACCAUCUAAAACAGAACAAGAUGUCAUGAAACCAUCCACUGGAGUCAAGAAACCACUAAAAGAAGACAAAGUAGUCAAGCUACUACUUAAAGAAGAGAAAGAGGUUCAGAAAGAAACUAAAGCAGAGAAAGAGGAAAAGAAAUCAUUAAAAGGAGUCAAAAAAAUACCUCAAGAUGAGAAAGAGGAAAGGGAAGUUAAGAAAGCAUCUAUAGAGGAGAGAGAAGUCGAGAAACCAUCUCAAGGUGAGAAGGAGGUCAAGAAACUACAUGAAGAAGAGAAAGAAGUCAGGAAACCAAUUCAAGAAAAGGAAGCAGUAAAGAAAUCAUCUCACAAAGUGAAAGAAGUCCAGAAACAAACUCAAGCAGAGAAAAACAUCAAGAAACCAUCUAGAGAAGAGAGGUAUGUGAAGAAAAACGACAAAAAAGAAGUGAAGAAACCACCUAUAGAGGAGAAAGAGAUCACGAAAGCAUCUCCAGAAGUGAAAGAGAUCAAGAAACCAUCUGAAGAACAGACAGAGGUCAAGAAGACUAGACAAGAAACACAAUACAAGAAAGAAGAGAAAGAAGUCACAAAAGCAUUUGAGGAAGAGAGAGAAGUCAAGAGACUAUCAAGAAAAGAUAAUAAUGUUGAGAAACCAUCUGAAGAAGAAAAAGAAGUCAUAAAAAUCCCUGGACAAGAGAAACAAGUCAGGAAACCAAUUGCAGAAAAGAAAGAGGUAAAUAUAUCAUCUCAAGAAGAGAAGGAACCUCAAAAACCAACUCAGGCCCUGAAGAAAGUCAAGAAACGAUCGAAAGAACAGACGACGGUCACGAAACACACUAGACAAGAAAAACAAUGCAAUAAACCCACUCGAGUUGAGAAAGUAGUUGAAAAAAAACCUGAAGAGGAGAAAGAAGUCACAAAACCACGUGAAGAGAGCAAAGUCAAGACACCAUCCAGAGAGGAGAAAAGAGUCAAGACGCCACUAAAAGAAGAGAAACAAAUCAAGAAAACAUCUAAAGAGGAGAAACCAUUCAGGGAAACUUCUAAAGAAGAGAAAGAGGGCAAGAAAACACCUAAAGAACUGAAAAAAGUCAAGAUUCCACACAGAGACGUGACAAACGUAACAAAACCACUUCAAGAAGCAGUCAAGAAACAUUCAACAGAAGAAAAACAAGUCAAGACACCACCCAAAGAAAAGGAAGACGUCAAGACACCACCCAAAGAGGAGAAAGAGCUCAAGACUCCACCCAAAGAGGAGAAAAAGAUCAAGACACCACCGAAAGGAAGGAAAGAAGUCAAGACUCCACCCAAAGAGGAGAAAGAAGUCAAGACACCACCCAAAGAGGAAAAAGCAGACAAGAAACCACUUAAAGAAAAGAAAGAGGUCAAGACUCCACCCAAAGAGGAGAAAGAAGUCAAGACACCACCCAAAGUGGAGAAAGAAGUCAAGACACCACCCGAAGAGGAGAAAGAAGUCAAGACACCACUCAAAGAAAAGAAAGCAGUCAGCACUCCAUCCAGAGAAAAGGGAGAAGUCAAGAUACUAUCUAACCGAGGAAAAGGAUUAAAGAAUUCGCCAAAAGAAGAAAAAGAAGCCAACAAACCAUUGAAAGUACAUAGAAAUGUAUACAAACCAUCAAGGGCGGAGAGGGAAGUUAAUACAUCUUCUUUAAAAGGAAGAGAAGCCAAGAAACAACUUAAAGAAGUUAAAGAAGCAAUAAAACCAUCUCAAGAAGAGAAAGAGGUGAGGAAACAUCUUAAAGAACAGAAAGAAGAGAUAAAACCUCUGAAAGAAGAACUAACUGAAAUGAAGUCUCACAAAGAUGAGAAUAAAUCACUCAAAGAAAGGCUACAAUUGAAACUGAAAAAGCCUCAAGAAGAAAUUGUAGCGAAAGUAAUGAAGCCCAAAGAACUGAAGGAAGCAGGGGAGCCUUCCAAGGAAAGGAAAGAAUUGAAGAAACAUUCAAAAGAAAAGGAAAUAAGGGAGCCACCGAAGGAGGACAAAGAAAUCAAGAGACCUACAAAAGAAAAAGAGAAAAAAGAGGUUAAGAAUCCAUCUGAAGAUGACAAAGAAGUAAAAUACUUAAAGAAAGGGACGGAAGACAAGAAGCCGUCUCUGAGGGAUAAAAAAGAAAAAAUACUUUCAGUGGAGGAAAAAGAAGUCAUCACACCCAUAAAGAAAGAAAGAGACCCAAAGAAAUCUUCAAUGGAGAAAAACCAAGCAAAACCUUCCAAAGAAAAGGCAGUUCCAAAAAAGCUCUCCAGAAGAAAACAAGCACAAGAGAAACCUUCAAGAGAUGGAAAGGAAUCAACAAUACUCUCUCGAAAGGAAGAAAAUGAACCAAAGAAGCUCUCUGAAGAACAAGACCCUGAGAAACCCUCCAAAGACCAGAGAGAAGUGACUCCCAAAGAGCAAAAGGAAGCAAAGAAAAUAUCUAUUGAAAACGUAGAACAAACAAAACCCUCCACAGAGAAAGAAAUCAAAAAGACCCAUAAAGACCAACCUGUCCAGAUUGGUGAUACUAAGAAAGAUGCUGGACCCAAAAAGGCUGAGAGGAGGAUUAAAGUAGUCAAGGAAGAGGUUGCAUCUGUUCUGAAGAAGGAACACCGUAAUGUCACAAACGCAGCUGUGGAACCCAAGAGGGCAGUCGAGGUGCUGAAAGCUGCCAAAAAGCAGAGAGUUCUUAUCCCGAAAAAGGAGCACAUGAUUGUGACAAAGACAGAGGUUCCUGAAACUCCUAAAGUGAAAGCCAAACAAGAAUCUGCAAAGAAAGUGGCAGCUCAUAAAGAGCCCGUACAGGAACCAAAGGAAAAAAUCACACCUACGCGUGUUAAACGAGAUGAUGAACCUAAGAAGGCUGCACAGAGGAUUAAAGUACUUCUCAAUGUUACGAAAGCAGAGAUUUCUAAACACCCUGACUUGAAAGCCAAACCAGAACCUGCGAAGAAAGACGUUUCAAAGGACAAAGCAAAAGCGGGUCCUGCUAAGAAAGAAGCUGUUGCUCUAAAAGAAAAGGCCAAAACAGUCAACAUGAAAAGAGAACGAGAGGGCGCUCCCAGAAAUGCGUCUCUGGUCAAACCGAGAGUCAAAAUAGUGCCUGUGAAAAAAGAGGUCACAGUGCCAAAAAAGGAAGUCAAAGCAGCUUCUGCAAAAAAAGAAGCUGCUCUAAAAGAAAAUACAAAGACAAAAACCUCACAGAAAGAACCUGAGACCAAGCUGCUUCUCGCCAGAAAAGCAAUUAAGUUAACAAAGGAGACGCCUCAGCCACCUCGUGGAAAGAAAGCUCCUUCUAAAACUGAGGAUGACACCAAGGGAAAUGUCAAAUCCCUCCUCAGGAAGAAAGAACUGGAGACUCCUAAAGAAAAGAGCAAACUGGCUGCAGUGAAGAAAGCACCCGAGGUUCUAAAAGAAAAGGUCAAAACCUCUGCUGCAAAGAAAGAGGUCAGAGUUCGUAAAGAAAACGCAGAGCCUGUAAAACAAGAAAAAACAUUUGAGAAGAGGACAACCAAGGAGGAGAAAGCUAAAGAGGAUAGAGUUCUUAAAGAAAUACAAGAGCCAGCAAAGAAAGAAAGAUCUACUGAGAAGAAAGCUGCCAUGGAGGAGAAAAUAAAAGCUGGGCCUUCUGUAUCAGACAGCUUCCAAAUUGAAGAAGAGCUGCCCUACUUCCAGUGUUUCUUUUUGGACGAGGACGAGGCCCAAUUUCCUUUCCACGCCUUCUCGCCGAUGCAUAUUUGAGGCUUCAGUCUAAAUCCGGUCUGAGGUUUACAAUUUUUGUCAAUUUUACUGAUAAUGACCUGGUCACACCCUGCGCUGCUGAACGCAGCCUGCUGUUGGUUCUCACGAGAAAACCACGAACAGCAAAGGAUGAUGGGGGAUUUAAUGUGACGGUCGGACUUUCUUUCACUUCCAGAUUUGGUUGAGCUCUCGUACCGAAUACAUGCAGCCGGUGUCAUUCCUUUCCGUUUUGUUAUUUAUUUUGUGUGUUCAAUGGUUUUUAAAGGUGGAUAUCUUGGUGGAAUGGUGGAACUAUGUCGAGUAUUACCUCCGUGGAUCAUUCAUUUAGAUCCCCACAGCAACACAAGCAAAUGCAUUUUUUUUAGAAGGAGCACAAGGCUUUAAACAAGAUACAAAAUGGCCACAAUUGUGGAUUAAAGGUGGACAGAGCGUCGAUUCCCAGCGUUUACUUGAAAAGUGGUUCGUAGAGAAAUAGUAAGAAGAUUGUUAUGCACCAUAUGUAAUUUCAACUUUGUCCUUCAUCGCAUUGUUUAUGGGCAGAUUUUUAGUGCGUAUUUUAUUUUGCUUUUAAAGCCCUGGAAUUAACAAUUGGGCAUUUGUAGUGUUUGUUUAUUAUUCCAUUAUUCUUGAUAUCAUUUCAUUAAUUUCAAGGAAACCUUGUUUUUCACGUUCCUCUAUCUUACGAGAGAGAUGUAUUUUUCCGUUUUUGACUACGGCCUGUAAUGUGUCUAAAGGAAUGACCACGCAUUGUAUAUGAGAGCUCCCAGACGUACUGAUGAAACGCUACCUAUAAAGUCUUAUUUAACUGUGGACAUAUGCACACGCUCCUCAUUUGGGCGUUGGCGCUGAAAACGAGCAUUGCCUCGCCUGUACCUGUCAGAAUGAAUGAAGACGUGUUGUAAAAGGAUUUUCCCAACUGCUCACUCGGUUCCAAUUCCUUGACUUUAGGCGUUUGAAUUUGAUGAAACUUGUUGAAGUCAAUAAGAGAGAGCGAGUAAAAGAAUUGUCUCGCACAGUUGCACUGGUCACUCGAUAGACCAAAAAUGUGUGCAAAUAUGUAAAUAGCCUACAUGAUAUAUUGCAGCAACCUUUUGAACAGGUUCCUAACAUAUGACAUUUUAUUCAUGCAUAACUUAUAUUACAUGCAAAGGAUUUGUAUUACCUUUAACAAAUAUCCUGUGCUGUACAGUAUGGGUGACAUUAUUUCAGAUUGAUUUUGAAUACAAUUACUGGUCAGAACUUGAAUCCAAGUUAUAUUUUUGAAAUCUCUGAAGAGUGAUCGUGUGAAAGAUGAUGACAAGAGCUGCGAUAAUCAGCUCUGCAGGUUUUGAAGACCUGGAUGUUGCUACGGUGGUUAUGUUGGUAUCAAAGUGAAACAUUGAGAAGAAACAUUUACACAUUUGAAAAUAUCUGCACAUCAUGUGGCUACACUUUAAAUGGAUGCAGAUGGCGUCACAUGAUCUCGGAUGUAAACUGGUACGUGGACUCUCAGCCCGUACAAGCUGUUGUUUACCUGUGCCUCUUUAAAUUCUGCUCCAUAUGCCGCAUAGAAGACAGUUCGUGGAGCUUGUGCCACUUAUCCCAAGUCCACUCAAAUCCCCUUAUCUGUUUGGUUAGAAUAAUAGUCCAUGCAGUCGAUGGGGCAUAGGUCCUUUUUCCAAAAGUCGCAGCCUGCUGUCUUUGCAUGUGUAUUUUGAGAUGCAGAAUUGGAGCAAAAUAUUGCUGCUAGAAUGACAAAUGGCGUUUUGAUUUGAGUGGACAAUAGAGGAAUAUUUGUUUUUAUGGUUUGAAUUGAAUUUGACCUGAAAUGGACUUGUCAGGAUGUGCAAUACAGAAUUAAUUUAUGAAUAUCUGAUUGAUCAGAACCCUGUACAUUUAUCUUUUAGUCCUUGAAUGAAAUAUGCAUGAAGUGUGUUCGUGUUUAAUGUUUUUUGUGAUGGUUUUUACCUCCUUUGAGAAUAGCAACACAUUGGAAGUUAUCGAGUCACAUUUGAAAUAAUCUUAUUGUAAAUUGUUAAAUAAGUGGCAAGAUUGAUCGAUUUAUCAUCACUACUGCAACUGCUUUAACUGUAACCAAACGAAUGUGCCUAUGUGAAGAGUAGCAAUGUGACAUUAAAACAUAGCAAGUG
Gasterosteus aculeatus aculeatus (three-spined stickleback) is the source of this 9441-nucleotide long non-coding RNA. The record is from Ensembl. Lineage: Eukaryota; Metazoa; Chordata; Actinopteri; Perciformes; Gasterosteidae.